This 70-nucleotide transfer RNA is filed under the name Lunella granulata. Its description in RNAcentral is "tRNA-Cys". The record is from RNAcentral. Lineage: Eukaryota; Metazoa; Mollusca; Gastropoda; Trochida; Turbinidae.
GACUCUGUAGUUGAUUCACAACAGUAAAUUGCAAGUUUAAAAGUGUGUAAACUUUAGCACCGGAGUUUGU